This 143-nucleotide ribosomal RNA is filed under the name uncultured bacterium. Its description in RNAcentral is "partial 16S ribosomal RNA". It matches the Rfam family "Bacterial small subunit ribosomal RNA", at positions 365 to 528 of the family's 1533-position model. The record is from RNAcentral.
UGCGUCUGCACGCACUCUGAUGCAGCGAUGCCGCGUGAGUGAGAAGGCCUUUGGGUUGUAAAGCUCUUUUGUAGGGGAAGAUAAUGACUGUACCCUAAGAAUAAGGUCCGGCUAACUUCGUGCCAGCAGCCGCGGUAAUACCC